AUCUUUCUAGUAUCUAAAGUCAGUACAAGUGACUUCCAAUCAUUCAGUCUUGGUUAAAAUCCAAGGAAAGAUA
This 73-nucleotide transfer RNA is filed under the name Lebiasina multimaculata. Its description in RNAcentral is "tRNA-Gly". It matches the Rfam family "tRNA". Rfam says of the family: Transfer RNA (tRNA) molecules are approximately 80 nucleotides in length. Their secondary structure includes four short double-helical elements and three loops (D, anti-codon, and T loops). Further hydrogen bonds mediate the characteristic L-shaped molecular structure. tRNAs have two regions of fundamental functional importance: the anti-codon, which is responsible for specific mRNA codon recognition, and the 3' end, to which the tRNAs corresponding amino acid is attached (by aminoacyl-tRNA synthetases). tRNAs cope with the degeneracy of the genetic code in two manners: having more than one tRNA (with a specific anti-codon) for a particular amino acid; and 'wobble' base-pairing, i.e. permitting non-standard base-pairing at the 3rd anti-codon position. The record is from RNAcentral. RNAcentral also lists the same sequence under 1 other name. Lineage: Eukaryota; Metazoa; Chordata; Actinopteri; Characiformes; Lebiasinidae.